Molecule: ribosomal RNA, 275 nt
Filed under: uncultured bacterium
Lineage: Bacteria
Description: partial 16S ribosomal RNA
Rfam family: Bacterial small subunit ribosomal RNA
Source: RNAcentral
CUAAGUUUGAUGGCGACCGGCGCACGGGUGAGUAACACGUAUCCAACCUGCCGAUGACUCGGGGAUAGCCUUUCGAAAGAAAGAUCAAUACCCGAUGGCAUAGUUCUUCCGCAUGGUGGAACUAUUAAAGAAUUUCGGUCAUCGAUGGGGAUGCGUUCCAUUAGGUUGUUGGCGGGGUAACGGCCCACCAAGCCUUCGAUGGAUAGGGGUUCUGAGAGGAAGGUCCCCCACAUUGGAACUGAGACACGGUCCAAACUCCUACGGGAGGCAGCAUG